Molecule: non-coding RNA, 403 nt
Filed under: Desulfofundulus kuznetsovii
Lineage: Bacteria; Bacillati; Bacillota; Clostridia; Eubacteriales; Peptococcaceae
Description: Desulfotomaculum kuznetsovii T-box sequence
Rfam family: T-box leader (bases 1-277)
About the family: Uncharged tRNA acts as the effector for transcription antitermination of genes in the T-box leader family. T-boxes are found upstream of many aminoacyl-tRNA synthetase genes and some amino acid biosynthetic genes usually in Gram-positive bacteria. The anticodon of a specific tRNA base pairs to a specifier sequence within the T-box motif, and the NCCA acceptor tail of the tRNA base pairs to a conserved bulge in the T-box antiterminator hairpin.
Source: RNAcentral
CUAAAGUCGAUGAAGGGGAAAAGUAGGCCGGAAACAGUUCUCCAGGGAGGAGGCGCCGGCGACUGGAAGCGCCUCCAGAACAUGACCGGUUGAAGUUCUCCCCGGAGAUGCAGGCUGAAACCCGUUACCGCGGGCAAGUAGGCCGUGCCGUAGUCUUCCUACGUUACCGGGAAGGGGGUAUCGGAAAGACACAUUCCCGUACCCUGUGUUGAGGUGGGCCGUUUUUGCGGUCAAGUAGGGUGGUAACGCGGAAAGCAGUAUGCUUCUCGUCCCUAAAGGUGCGAGGAGCUUUUAUUUUUCCCGUUGCUGCAGGGGGUGUUUUUCCCGUACCCUGAUCGAGGGGGCCGGGUUUUUCCGGCCAAUUGGGGUGGUACCGCGGAAGUCCGCUGCUUUCGUCCCCAGG